GACGAACGCUGGCGGCGUGCUUAACACAUGCAAGUCGAACGGAAAGGCCCUGCUUUUGUGGGGUGCUCGAGUGGCGAACGGGUGAGUAACACGUGAGUAACCUGCCCUUGACUUUGGGAUAACUUCAGGAAACUGGGGCUAAUACCGGAUAGGAUCUCCUGCUGCAUGGUGGGGGUUGGAAAGUUUCGGCGGUUGGGGAUGGACUCGCGGCUUAUCAGCUUGUUGGUGGGGUAGUGGCUUACCAAGGCUUUGACGGGUAGCCGGCCUGAGAGGGUGACCGGCCACAUUGGGACUGAGAUACGGCGCAGACUCCUACGGGAGGCAGCAGUGGGGAAUAUUGCACAAUAGGCGGAAGCCUGAUGCAGCAACGCCGCGUGCGGGAUGACGGCCUUCGGGUUGUAAACCGCUUUCGCCUGUGACGAAGCGUGAGUGACGGUAAUGGGUAAAGAAGCACCGGCUAACUACGUG
Molecule: ribosomal RNA, 468 nt
Filed under: uncultured bacterium
Lineage: Bacteria
Description: partial 16S ribosomal RNA
Rfam family: Bacterial small subunit ribosomal RNA
Source: RNAcentral